This is a long non-coding RNA of Seriola dumerili (greater amberjack), 371 nucleotides long. RefSeq lists it as uncharacterized. NCBI's taxonomy places the organism in Eukaryota, Metazoa, Chordata, Actinopteri, Carangiformes, Carangidae. The record is from RefSeq and is a predicted model, not a curated record. The transcript has 3 exons.
UGAUGACUGAACCGCAUCACAAGAUGUCGCAGUUUACACAGUAAACAAUCCGAGCUCAACAGUUCAUGAAAGGCCAGAGAGAAAGGGAUACUGUUCUCCAUAUCAAAACUACCCAACUACCCCUGCAAGUGAGGUCCUGUAUUGAAUCUACAGCAACAAAGACCCUCAUUCUGCUUGACACUGGAGAUGUUGUCCUGGCUAGAGUGAGGUCUGUGUCCUGGGACAGAGCAGUGCCAGCCAGCAAGAGAUGAUCCAUGCAUGUUGGCAUAGUCUAGGCACUUUGAGCCCCACAAAAUACCUCUGAGCUCCAUUGUGUUGGGCUGAAGAACAGCUGCUAUCUUCAAACCUCAGCAAAUAACCCUGAAACUAUA